AUUGAACGCUGGCGGCAGGCCUAACACAUGCAAGUCGAAUGGUAACAGGAAACUUCUUGCUGUUUCGCUGACGAGUGGCGGGCGUGUGAGUAAUGUCUGGGAAACUGCCUGAUGGAGGGGGAUCACUACUGGAAACGGUUGCCAAUACCGCAUAACGUCACAAGGCCGAAGAGGGUGGGAUCCCGGCCUCUUGCCAUAGGAUGUGCCCAGGUGGGAUUAGCUAGUAGGUGGGGUAACGGCUCACCUAGGCGACGAUCCCUAGCUGGUCUGAGAGGAUGACCAGCCACACUGGAACUGAGACACGGUCCAGACUCCUACGGGAGGCAGCAGUGGGGAAUAUUGGACAAAGGGCGCAAGCCUGAUGCAGCCAUGCCGCGUGUAUGAAGAAGGCCUUCGGGUUGUAAAGUACUUUCAGCGGGGAGGAAGGGAGUUAAGUUAAUACCUUUGCUCAUUGACGUUACCCGCAGAAGAAGCACCGGCUAACUCCGUG
RNAcentral lists this ribosomal RNA (490 nucleotides) under uncultured bacterium. Its description in RNAcentral is "partial 16S ribosomal RNA". It matches the Rfam family "Bacterial small subunit ribosomal RNA", at positions 30 to 507 of the family's 1533-position model. The record is from RNAcentral.